GCUUUUGUGGUGUAGUGGUCAGCACGCUCGACGCGUAGUCGAGAGGCCAGGGGUUCGAUUCCCGGAGAGGGCG
This 73-nucleotide transfer RNA is filed under the name Stegodyphus mimosarum. It matches the Rfam family "tRNA". From Rfam's summary of the family: Transfer RNA (tRNA) molecules are approximately 80 nucleotides in length. The record is from Rfam by way of RNAcentral. Lineage: Eukaryota; Metazoa; Arthropoda; Arachnida; Araneae; Eresidae.